This is a long non-coding RNA of Oncorhynchus tshawytscha (Chinook salmon), 2167 nucleotides long. RefSeq lists it as uncharacterized. The record is from RefSeq and is a predicted model, not a curated record. NCBI's taxonomy places the organism in Eukaryota, Metazoa, Chordata, Actinopteri, Salmoniformes, Salmonidae. The transcript is spliced from 4 exons.
UCGACAUAUACAACAGCGUGUUCCAGUUCCCUCCAAUAUCCAGCAACUUCACACAGCCAUUGAAGAGGAGUGGGACAACAUUCCACAGGCCACAAUCAAUAGCCUGAUCAACUCUUUGAAGGAGACGUCAUGCUGGAUGAGGCAAAUGGGGGUCACACCAGAUACUUUUAUUUCUUAUUUUCUGAACCAAGCCCCUACUUAAAAGAAGAAAGGUAUCUGUGACAAACAGAUGCUUUUCUGUAUUACCAGUCAUGUGAAAUCCAUAGAUCAGGGCCUAAGGAAUUUAUUUACAUUGACUGGUUUCCUUAAAUGAACUGAUACUCUGUAAAAUCUUUGAAAUUGUUCUAUGUUGGGUUUAUAUUUUUGUUCAUUGUCUAUACAAAUACAUAUGUAUUCUAGGAGUGGACUCCAACAACAAAGUGCCAUGUAACUGAUCAUGUUGUUUUCCAAGAUAGCCAUGUAUUUUGAUGAACAAUGCAAUGUGACCCAAAGGACGAGGCAAAUAAAUUGAUUAUGGAUAAAUGUAAUAACACAGUAAGGCUGUUGUAUCUAUGUAAUCAUUCAUUAUUUUCUCUGUGUUUAUGUUAAAUGUCAAUGUUUGCAUUGUAAUGCACAGAUCAAAGGCAAGGGAUGAAAAGUAACAAUUUAUGGAUCGCUGCGGCACACGGUAUUAAUAUAUCUAGUUGGAUUUGAUAGGGAAGGAUAGCGUUUUCAUUUUGUGAAUCCACACUGGACAACAAAUCAGUGACUGCAAGGUCAUGUGUUGCUGCUGCCCCCUUGCGUUUGGUCUCCAUCACCCCUGUUCUGCUAAAUCUCAUUCUCCACAAAAUGGUAUCAUCUGCCGUGUCAACAUGGAGCCCCUGGUAAAAGAUGAGAAAUUAUUAUUGCAUUUUUUUUUGCAGAUUUAGAAGUAAUAAUUUCAAACAAAAUUUGACCAUUUUGUUCCAUCUUUAUUAAUAUUAAAGUCAGCUCUAAACGUUAUACAUUUAAGCAGAUAAUUCAUGUUCGUUGCAUGCCCGAGUUGCUUCAUAUCACCUGUGCUCAAACGAAUCGAUAAAUGUGGUUAGUGCAUGCAGUGUAAAGUGUUUCCAAAUACAGUCGACAGUCACAGGUCUCUGUUAACUAACUCUACUGCACCUCCCACCUAGGCACGAAUGGAACCCGAUGCUGUCAUUACUUUGUACAAGGAAUAUAGUGGGUAUCCCAUUCCUAUUAUGCCUUCGUGACUGCGACUGAACCAGAAGGAUGCUGCAUUACUAGUUUUUAAUUUGUCGACAGAGUGGAGCCAAAGUGAGACAGUCAGUGGAAACGGACUGCACAAUACCCAGCAGUGGACACUGAUUCAAGAAGAGGACAGUAAAGAUCUUACCACCAAACCCCUGCAGUCUCUUACACCAUGAAUAUGGAGCAGCUAUGGCAUGAGAAAAAUUAUCAAUCUCACUGAUCUCAACAAACAUGGGAGAGCGUAUGAGGAUGGUAAGGCCUUGAGUGAUUUGAAUGACUACCCCACAGAGUGCAUAGAACCUUGGGGUGAUCCUGGACAACACCCUGUUGUUCUCUGCAAACAUCAAAGCAGUGACUCGAUCCUGCAGGUUUGUGCUCUGCAACAUCCAUAGAGUACGACCCUUCCUCACACAGGAAGCGGUGCAGGUCCUAAUCCAGGAACAUGUCAUCUCCUGUCUGGACUUCUGCAACUCGCUGUUGGCUGGGCUCCCUGCUUGAGCCAUCAAACCCCUGCAACUUAUCCAGAAUGCUGCAGCCUGCCUGGUCGAAGCUUGCAUCCACUCCAAGACCAUGGUGCUUACCUACGGAGCAGCAAGAGGAACGACCCCUCCCUACCUUCAGGACCCCUGUCAAGCCCCCAGUCCUUAGCAUGACCUCCAGACCCCUGUCCAGCCCCUAUCCCAGACCCUCAAUUAAGGAGAAGUAGCCGGGAUGGUCUGGACUACAGUGGGGAGUGCUGGUCUUCAGUAGCGCCCGGAGGAACUGGAGGGUAAAUGCACAGACACACGAACACUCUCACAUUUGGAAAGACUGGCCCAUUCCCUCUUUGUUCUCUCUGUGCUCCAUUGUUGUAAUUCUCUCUCUUUGCAGCAAUUUGACCAUAAAGGCUUAAUUCACACUGUCUCCUCUGAACAGUUGAUGUUGAGAUGUGUCUGUUACUUGA